This 330-nucleotide unclassified non-coding RNA is filed under the name soil metagenome. RNAcentral describes it as "partial contains 5.8S ribosomal RNA, internal transcribed spacer 2, and large subunit ribosomal RNA". The stretch from base 1 to 120 matches the Rfam family "5.8S ribosomal RNA", at positions 35 to 154 of the family's 154-position model. The record is from RNAcentral.
GAUGAAGAACGUAGCGAAAUGCGAUAAGUAGUGUGAAUUGCAGAAUUCAGUGAAUCAUCGAAUCUUUGAACGCACAUUGCGCCCCUUGGUAUUCCGAGGGGCAUGCCUGUUCGAGCGUCAUUAUAACCCCUCAAGCUCAGCUUGGUAUUGGGGCCUGCCAUCCUGGCAGCCCUUAAAAUCAGUGGCGGUGCCAUCCGGCUCUAAGCGUAGUAACUCCUCUCGCUAUGGAGUCCUGGUGGAUGCUUUGCCAUUAAUCUUUUAACUUCUAUGGUUGACCUCGGAUCAGGUAGGGAUACCCGCUGAACUUAAGCAUAUCAAUUAAGCGGAGGA